This 1993-nucleotide unclassified non-coding RNA is filed under the name Octopus sinensis (East Asian common octopus). RNAcentral describes it as "protein YIPF3, transcript variant X1". The record is from RNAcentral. Lineage: Eukaryota; Metazoa; Mollusca; Cephalopoda; Octopoda; Octopodidae.
GGAGGUAAACGAGAGUUGGUCAGUGAUGUCACAGCGAUGGCCGACCGUACAGAUUGGCAACAUCAACCUCAGAGUCAAACAUCAUCUGUGAUAGAUCUUGAUGAUAUGGAAGUUAUAGACAAUGAUGCUUCCGACUAUGAGAGUGAAUUCAGAGAUUCUAGGAAAUCGGAUGAAGGAAGAUAUUCUAAGAACGAGGAUGAUAAUGAAGACGUUCGUCAGAGAAUGGGCCAACAUGUCACUGAAAUUAUGUGGCAGGCAGGUAAGCAGCAGGCAAAGAAAGCAUGGAACCUUUAUGGCAACAUUGAUAUUUUGCGUCCAUAUUUUGAUGUUCAACCAUAUGAAGUAAGGAACAGGUUAAUAGAAUCUCUUAUUCCUCGGAAGGCAAGUGUUCAAAUACAGAGUAUUCCAAGGGAACUUUAUGGUCCAACAAUGGUCAUUUUUACCCUUAUAGCUCUUCUGCUGUUCCAAAUGAAGUCCUCAGGACAUCAAGUGCAAGAAGGCACUCUAAUGGGCACAUCUUUCUUGGUCUGUUUCUCCUAUUGGUUCGGUGCUUCUAGUGCAAUUUUCCUCUUGUCCUAUCUCUGUAAUAUCCAGGUCACUAUGAUACAAGUUCUCUCUAUGCUGGGCUAUGGAUUGUUUGGCCAUUGUAUUGUUGUAUUUGCGAGCACUGUAACACACACGUCCCACAGUCACAUCCUGUUUUAUAUGUUAUGGGCCCUAGUUGGUGGUCUCUCAACUGCACGAAUGGCCUUUGUGGUACUCUCCAGAACAUCAGGACACUCUCAACGAAUAAUUGUCUGUUCAGCUAUUGCUGUUCUUCACCUUACUUUCCUUUUGUACUUACAUUUUGCAUACCAUCAGACAGUUGAAGAAUUCUCAGAAGUGUUUGACAAAGAAAUAUCGAAACCUAUUGCAGAAGAUGCCCUCCGUCCGAAAUUUGUCCGGGACUUAGGAAUAGAACAGCACAGCAUCAAACAUAUAAACCAGUCACCUAAACAAUACAUAAAAUCUGCUGCCAUUGAUAAAAUAGAUAGUGUUGUUCAGACACCAGUUCUGAAUAUUCCACAGAAUGUUCUUAACGUUCUCAAUACAACAGUACCUGUAAUACAAGCGGCGGGUAAAUCGCUCUUGAAAGCAGCUAUCGCCAGUAAGACAAACAACAGCGUGGCCAUGUAGUGUUUACUGCUACUACUACUUCUACUACAAAUGCAAGCAAACAGCAAGGUCAGCAAACUCUGAAUAUUCUUCCCAAGGCCUAACUAUUUGGCUGAAAAGUUUAAUUCCCUAGGGAUUUUAUUCAAAGCAAAUAAACAGUGCAUGUUGCGGGCAGGAUUGGGUGUUUGAGAGUUCUUUUAAGGGGGGAUUCAUUGGAAUUGAAUUGAAUUGAAUUGAAAUGAAAGAAAGAAAGAAAUCCUGAAACAAUCAUAUAUCUGGAACUAUCAGGAACUGUAAUGCUGGCUUGGCUUUGUAAUUCUGUAGACUAACAGCCACUGAUGAACAACUCCAGUCUUUGUUUAUCGAAGUUUGGAAGAGAAAAAUGUUCAAAUAUUAUAUAACUUAAAAAGAGAGAGAGAAAAAACUCAAUAAUAAAAAAACAACAUAUAUAUAUAUAUUUAACGACACUGCUAAACAAGUCCUUUGUCUCUCAUUUGUCAUAAAUAAAUUUCCUUUUUUUUUUCCACCCCUCUUUCUCUCUUGAUAAUACUGGAAGCAUGAAUCUGUGAGUAAGUUAAAAGAAUCAUCAUUCUUGUAUAAUAUUUAAUAUUUGGUAGAAAAAGGAAAUUACACUUCUCUGCAGAGCAUCUUCAGGGUAAUUGGGUUAUAUUUAAUUUUUUUUUUUCUAUGUUAUUGUCUUUUUCUUUUCUGUUAACAUUUAUUUUAAUACAUGCGAUAGCAAAUUUAAUCAUUUACUAAUCUAAAUGCCAUUUCGGCAGAGCAAAACAGAAUGAAUUUCUGUGUUUAAUCUUUACUGCGGAUUAGUUUCACAAGGAAA